Molecule: non-coding RNA, 189 nt
Organism: Vicia faba (fava bean)
Lineage: Eukaryota; Viridiplantae; Streptophyta; Magnoliopsida; Fabales; Fabaceae
Source: the annotation of a GenBank genome assembly
AUGGCAAAAACAUUACAACAGGGAAGGAAAAAUAAUUACAGUAGAGGAGAAAGAACAGGAGGACUCAACCGUCAUCGCCGCUCCGAAACCCUCAUUCUCGCCAUCCUCCGUUCACCUCCUUCGAUCCCCGGAACUCCACCUCCACCUUCCGAACAUUCACAUCGCACGACGCCUCCCUUUCUCCGCUGA